GACGAACGCUGGCGGCGUGCUUAACACAUGCAAGUCGAACGGAAAGGCCUGCUUUCCCUUGUGGAUUGCGGGUACUCGAGUGGCGAACGGGUGAGUAACACGUGAGUGAUCUGCCCCCAACUUGGGUAUAAGCCUGGGAAACUGGGUCUAAUUCCCGAUAGGACUGCAGGGUGGUGCCUGUGGUGGAAAACGAUUUUCUAGUGGUUGGGGAUGAGCUCGCGGCCUAUCAGCUUGUUGGUGGGGUAAUGGCCUACCAAGGCGGCGACGGGUAGCCGGCCUGAGGCGGAGGAGAGCCAAAUGGGGGCUGAGCUACGGCCCAGGAGCCAGCCGGAGGCAGCAGUGGGGCGGAGUGCACAAUGGGCGUGAGGUUGAUGCCGCGACGCCACGUGGAGGAUGCCGGCCUGCGGGUGGGAAACUCAUUUCGGUGGCAAGGAAGCCACCUGGUAGGAAGGGUGGUGACUGCACUGAUAGGAGCAGCACCGGCUAACUACGC
This 493-nucleotide ribosomal RNA is filed under the name uncultured bacterium. Its description in RNAcentral is "partial 16S ribosomal RNA". It matches the Rfam family "Bacterial small subunit ribosomal RNA", at positions 28 to 506 of the family's 1533-position model. The record is from RNAcentral.